AGACCCGGAUGAGUCCUAGUCCCCGCCACACACAGGUCGUGGGUUCUCCUUUGAGAGUGACCACUGGUUCCUAGAGCUUUUCCUAAACUGGAGACGGAUCCUGCCCUGGGGGUCUCAGUCACCGCGAGGACUCGAGGGUAACUGCCAGAGGUCCCAGGUGGCCCGAGGGCUAUUUUAAAAUAUUUUCUGUUUCCUUGAUUUCUCCUCCUUUGGAUGUAUUGGGCUUCCUGACUCUUUGAAGAAUCUAUCCAGUGUCUUUAAGUAGGAGAAACCCCGGAGCAUGAGCCCUCGUCCUUCACCGUCCCGGGGACAGGGGGACCCCCAGAUGCUGCACGGCUGACAGGCCAACGUGGCAGAAGCUCCAGCUUCACAGGAAGCCAGUGACCAUGAGAGUCUGUAGCUGUAACGAAGCCACAGAGCUGUGGCUUUCUUUCCCCUUCAGCUCUAGGAAAGGUUAUCUGCCCUGCACAGAUCUCCGGAGGCCUGGCUGGGCUCUGAGAGCAUCAGACUGAUUAUCGUAAGAAAAUAAUCUCUGCAGACACAUUCCUUGCUAGAAGCAGGGGACAAAGCCCAGCUUCAAAGACAAUUCCACACACGCCCUCCCUGCCCUGCACAGCUG
RNAcentral lists this long non-coding RNA (619 nucleotides) under Homo sapiens (human). Its description in RNAcentral is "PREDICTED lncRNA (TCONS_00173606)". The record is from RNAcentral. Lineage: Eukaryota; Metazoa; Chordata; Mammalia; Primates; Hominidae.